RNAcentral lists this ribosomal RNA (253 nucleotides) under uncultured bacterium. RNAcentral describes it as "partial 16S ribosomal RNA". It matches the Rfam family "Bacterial small subunit ribosomal RNA", at positions 524 to 776 of the family's 1533-position model. The record is from RNAcentral.
UACGGAGGGGGCAAACGUUGCUCGGAAUCAUUGGGCGUAAAGCGCACGUAGGCGGUUCGUUAUGUCGGAUGUGAAAGCCCUUGGCUUAACCGAGGAAGUGCAUCCGAAACUGGCGAGCUAGAGUACUAAAGAGGAUCGCGGAAUUCCCGGUGUAGAGGUGAAAUUCGUAGAUAUCGGGAGGAACACCGGUGGCGAAGGCGGCGAUCUGGGUAGAUACUGACGCUGAGGUGCGAAAGCGUGGGGAGCAAACAGG